GAGUUUGAUCCUGGCUCAGGAUGAACGCUAGCGGCAGGCCUAACACAUGCAAGUCGAACGGUAACAUUUCCAGCUUGCUGGAAGAUGACGAGUGGCGCACGGGUGCGUAACGCGUAUGCAACUUACCUCUAACUAGGAGAUAGCCUUGUGAAAACGAGAAUAAUAUCCUAUAGUACCAUGAUUUGACAUCAUUUUAUGGUUAAAGAUUUAUCGGUUAGAGAUAGGCAUGCGUCCCAUUAGAUAGUUGGUGAGGUAACGGCUCACCAAGUCAGCGAUGGGUAGGGGGCCUGAGAGGGUUAUCCCCCACACUGGUACUGAGACACGGACCAGACUCCUACGGGAGGCAGCAGUGAGGAAUAUUGGUCAAUGGACGAAAGUCUGAACCAGCCAUGCCGCGUGCAGGAAGAAUGCCCUAUGGGUUGUAAACUGCUUUUAUAUGGGAAGAAUCCUUCCGACGUGUCGGAAGUUGACGGUACCAUAUGAAUAAGCACCGGCUAACUCCGUGCCAGCAGCCGCGGUAAUACGGAGGGUGCAAGCGUUAUCCGGAUUUAUUGGGUUUAAAGGGUCCGUAGGCGGAAUUGUAAGUCAGUGGUGAAAGCCCACAGCUCAACUGUGGAACUGCCAUUGAUACUGCUUUUCUUGAAUAUAGUUGAAGUGAACGGAAUGUAACAUGUAGCGGUGAAAUGCAUAGAGAUGUUACAGAACACCAAUUGCGAAGGCAGUUCACUAAGCUAUUAUUGACGCUAAGGGACGAAAGCGUGGGUAGCGAACAGGAUUAGAUACCCUGGUAGUCCACGCCGUAAACUAUGAUUACUCGAUGUCGGCGAUAUAUUGUCGGUGUCCAAGCGAAAGUGAUAAGUAAUCCACCUGGGGAGUACGAUCGCAAGGUUGAAACUCAAAGGAAUUGACGGGGGCCCGCACAAGCGGUGGAGCAUGUGGUUUAAUUCGAUGAUACGCGAGGAACCUUACCUGGGCUUAAAUGCAACAUGACCGUUCUGGAAACAGGACUUUCUUCGGACAGGUUGCAAGGUGCUGCAUGGUUGUCGUCAGCUCGUGCUGUGAGGUGUCGGGUUAAGUCCCAUAACGAGCGCAACCCCUAUUCUUAGUUGCCAGCGGGUAAUGCCGGGGACUCUAAGAAAACUGCCCGUGCAAACGGUGAGGAAGGUGGGGAUGACGUCAAAUCAUCACGGCCCUUACGUCCAGGGCUACACACGUGCUACAAUGGUCGGUACAAAGGGCAGCUACCUGGUGACAGGAUGCUAAUCUCUAAAGCCGAUCUCAGUUCGGAUCGAAGUCUGCAACUCGACUUCGUGAAGUUGGAAUCGCUAGUAAUCGCGCAUCAGCCAUGGCGCGGUGAAUACGUUCCCGGGCCUUGUACACACCGCCCGUCAAGCCAUGGAAGUCGGGGGUACCUGAAGUCAGUAACCGCAAGGAGCUGCCUAGGGUAAAACUGGUAACUGGGGCUAAGUCGGAACAAGGUAGCCGUA
This 1487-nucleotide ribosomal RNA is filed under the name uncultured prokaryote. RNAcentral describes it as "partial 16S ribosomal RNA". It matches the Rfam family "Bacterial small subunit ribosomal RNA". The record is from RNAcentral.